AUUGAACGCUGGCGGCAUGCUUUACACAUGCAAGUCGAACGGCAGCGCGGGGGCAACCCUGGCGGCGAGUGGCGAACGGGUGAGUAAUGCAUCGGAACGUAUCCUGUAAUGGGGGAUAACGUAGCGAAAGUUACGCUAAUACCGCAUACGCUCGAGAGAGGAAAGUGGGGGAUCGCAAGACCUCACGUUAUAGGAGCGGCCGAUGUCCGAUUAGCUAGUUGGUGGGGUAAAGGCCCACCAAGGCGACGAUCGGUAGCUGGUCUGAGAGGAUGAUCAGCCACACUGGGACUGAGACACGGCCCAGACUCCUACGGGAGGCAGCAGUGGGGAAUUUUGGACAAUGGGCGAAAGCCUGAUCCAGCCAUGCCGCGUGCGGGAAGAAGGCCUUCGGUUGU
This 395-nucleotide ribosomal RNA is filed under the name uncultured bacterium. RNAcentral's name for it is "bacterial SSU rRNA". It matches the Rfam family "Bacterial small subunit ribosomal RNA", at positions 29 to 426 of the family's 1533-position model. The record is from RNAcentral.